Molecule: ribosomal RNA, 482 nt
Filed under: uncultured bacterium
Lineage: Bacteria
Description: partial 16S ribosomal RNA
Rfam family: Bacterial small subunit ribosomal RNA
Source: RNAcentral
AUUGAACGCUGGCGGCAUGCCUUACACAUGCAAGUCGAACGGUAACGGGCCUUCGGGUGCCGACGAGUGGCGAACGGGUGCGUAAUACAUCGGAACGUGCCCGAUCGUGGGGGAUAACGAGGCGAAAGCUUUGCUAAUACCGCAUACGAUCGACGGAUGAAAGCAGGGGACCGCAAGGCCUUGCGCGGGCGGAGCGGCCGAUGGCGGAUUAGGUAGUUGGUGGGAUAAAAGCUUACCAAGCCGACGAUUUGUAGGUGAUCUGAGAGGAUGAUCAGCCACACUGGAACUGAGCCACGGCCCAGACUCCUAAGGGAGGCAGCAGUGGGGAAUGUUAGACAAUGGGCGCAAGCCUGAUCCAGCCAUGCCGCGUGCAGGAUGAAGGCCUUCGGGUUGUAAACUGCUUUUGUACGGAACGAAAAGCCUUCUUUUAAUACAGGAGGGUCAUGACGGUACCGUAAGAAUAAGCACCGGCUAACUACGUG